RNAcentral lists this ribosomal RNA (468 nucleotides) under uncultured bacterium. RNAcentral describes it as "partial 16S ribosomal RNA". It matches the Rfam family "Bacterial small subunit ribosomal RNA", at positions 28 to 507 of the family's 1533-position model. The record is from RNAcentral.
GACGAACGCUGGCGGCGUGCUUAACACAUGCAAGUCGAACGGAAAGGCCCUGCUUUUGUGGGGUGCUCGAGUGGCGAACGGGUGAGUAACACGUGAGUAACCUGCCCUUGACUUUGGGAUAACUUCAGGAAACUGGGGCUAAUACCGGAUAGGAGCUCCUGCUGCAUGGUGGGGGUUGGAAAGUUUCGGCGGUUGGGGAUGGACUCGCGGCUUAUCAGCUUGUUGGUGGGGUAGUGGCUUACCAAGGCUUUGACGGGUAGCCGGCCUGAGAGGGUGACAGGCCACAUUGGGACUGAGAUACGGCCCAGACGCCUACGGGAGGCAGCAGUGGGGAAUAUUGCACAAUGGGCGGAAGCCUGAUGCAGCAACGCCGCGUGCGGGAUGACGGCCUUCGGGUUGUAAACCGCUUACGCCUGUGACGAAGCGUGAGUGACGGUAAUGGGUAAAGAAGCACCGGCUAACUACGUG